RNAcentral lists this long non-coding RNA (623 nucleotides) under Populus trichocarpa (black cottonwood). RNAcentral's name for it is "long non-coding RNA (PTRI_LNC001311)". Lineage: Eukaryota; Viridiplantae; Streptophyta; Magnoliopsida; Malpighiales; Salicaceae. The record is from RNAcentral.
GGGGCUCAAGCUUUUUUGAAACAAAAACUCAUUUUUUUAACUUUUUUUUUUACCUCAAAACACACAGAAAACACCAUGAACAUCUUGAUAAACUCAUUAAUAGUUGAACUAUUCGACACAAAAUUUAACUGUUUUGGUGGUCGGGAUCGAUGUCAAUGAUAUUUUUUUUCUCUCUACCAUUAAAAUUCAACAACUUUCUCUUUUCUCUUUCAAACUAGGAAUUAAAAAGAUAGGAAAAUAAAAUUUUAAACCAAAAUUGAUUUUUGUUAAGACUUCGAAAACUAGAGGGACCCAAUUGUUAUAAUUAGUAAACAAUAAUGACUAAGUUGGACAUUUCUUCCAUGCCAAAGCAUAGUUAUAACUUUCAACACCAUAAAUAUAACCUGUGUUAGAUUUUAUUUUAAAAUAAUAUUUUUUUUUUAUGAAAAUAAUAUCAUUUAUUUUAUAAAAAAACGACAUGAUUUCAUUGCUUGAAUUGACUGGUCAAAUCGCUGUUACCAUAUCAAUUCUUAAACCUAGUGUUAUAACUUUGUCUAAAUUCAAGUGAAGGAAACAGGAAGAAAGCCUCGAUUCAUCAACAGAAUUGAUUUCGCUCAUGAUUGUUCUCUGCUUUUUGAUAUUCC